UCCCCCAGGCAGUGGACAAAGAGACACCUUGUUGGUGUUGGUGUUCUUAUAUCAGUCAGGGACAGAACAGAUGGAGUCCUUUGUUCAUCCUAGCCUGAUGCCAGCCUAGGAUUCAUAA
Small nucleolar RNA from Rattus norvegicus (Norway rat), 118 nucleotides. Ensembl annotates it as small nucleolar RNA SNORA48. NCBI's taxonomy places the organism in Eukaryota, Metazoa, Chordata, Mammalia, Rodentia, Muridae. The record is from Ensembl.